UACGUAGGGUGCAAGCGUUAAUCGGAAUUACUGGGCGUAAAGCGUGCGCAGGCGGUUCGGAAAGAAAGAUGUGAAAUCCCAGAGCUUAACUUUGGAACUGCAUUUUUAACUACCGGGCUAGAGUAUGUCAGAGGGGGGUAGAAUUCCGCGUGUAGCAGUGAAAUGCGUAGAGAUGCGGAGGAACACCGAUGGCGAAGGCAGCCUCCUGGGAUGACACUGACGCUCAUGCACGAAUGCGUGGGGAGCAAACAGG
This 253-nucleotide ribosomal RNA is filed under the name uncultured bacterium. RNAcentral describes it as "partial 16S ribosomal RNA". It matches the Rfam family "Bacterial small subunit ribosomal RNA", at positions 524 to 776 of the family's 1533-position model. The record is from RNAcentral.